GGACAGCUAGAGGAGCAGAGUCAGAGUGCUUCUAGUGAUAUACAUGAGCUCCGAGAACAGAUGACUUAGAUGACAGGGAUGAUGGGUAGUUAUGUGAGUUGUUAGCACAGUAGGUUAGUAUUUCACAGCAGAGAUUAGUACGGGAUGCUCCGCCAUUGAGUUUUCUGGUAGAUGCUCCUAGAGUAGUGGUACCCUCGGUAGAGACUGUUACUGAGAGAUUGAGACUGAUUGGGGUAAUGACAGAGGGCAGACCGAAGAUGUUAGAAGCAGAGCAGGAGAGAGCACGUGCAAGACUGGCUGAGUUUAGGAGAUUCGGUCUGCCCAGGUUCAGUGG
Molecule: long non-coding RNA, 334 nt
Filed under: Ananas comosus (pineapple)
Lineage: Eukaryota; Viridiplantae; Streptophyta; Magnoliopsida; Poales; Bromeliaceae
Description: long non-coding RNA (ACOM_LNC020972)
Source: RNAcentral